This 464-nucleotide ribosomal RNA is filed under the name uncultured Geobacteraceae bacterium. RNAcentral's name for it is "partial 16S ribosomal RNA". It matches the Rfam family "Bacterial small subunit ribosomal RNA", at positions 338 to 794 of the family's 1533-position model. Lineage: Bacteria; Pseudomonadati; Thermodesulfobacteriota; Desulfuromonadia; Geobacterales; Geobacteraceae. The record is from RNAcentral.
CCUACGGGAGGCAGCAGUGAGGAAUAUUCCACAAUGGGCGCAAGCCUGAUGGAGCGACGCCGCGUGGACGACGAAGGCCUUCGGGUCGUAAAGCUCUGUCAGAGGGGAAGAAAUGCAGGUGGUGAACAACCAUUCUGUUUGACGGUACCCUCAAAGGAAGCACCGGCUAACUCCGUGCCAGCAGCCGCGGUAAUACGGAGGGUGCGAGCGUUGUUCGGAAUUAUUGGGCGUAAAGCGCGUGUAGGCGGUUUGUUAAGUCUGAUGUAAAAGCCCCGGGCUCAACCGGGGAAGUGCAUUGGAUACUGGCAGACUUGAGUACGGGAGAGGAGAGUGAAAUUCCCAGUGUAGGAGUGAAAUCCGUAGAUAUUGGGAGGACCACCGGUGGCGAGGGCGGCUCUCUGGACCGAUACUGACGCUGAGACGCGAAAGCGUGGGGAGCAAACAGGAUUAGAUCCCCUUGUAGU